RNAcentral lists this long non-coding RNA (237 nucleotides) under Ananas comosus (pineapple). RNAcentral's name for it is "long non-coding RNA (ACOM_LNC012858)". The record is from RNAcentral. Lineage: Eukaryota; Viridiplantae; Streptophyta; Magnoliopsida; Poales; Bromeliaceae.
ACAUAUAAAAAUUAAAUUUUAUAUGGUAUCAUUCAUUACAUUUGUAGAGAUCUGAAUAAAAUUUAUUUUAUUUUAUAUAUUCAAUCGAUACGUUUAUUUUAUUUAGAAAUAAACUUAACUAUAAAUGUGAAUCAAUAGGAUUCGAACUUGGAAUUUCGAUCGAGUAUCUACCACAAAGCUCUUUACCACUUAUGUUAGGAACGGUCGGUUGUAAAAUAUUAAAUAUAUAUGUUUAUU